Long non-coding RNA from Cephus cinctus (wheat stem sawfly), 5759 nucleotides. RefSeq lists it as uncharacterized. The transcript is spliced from 5 exons. The record is from RefSeq and is a predicted model, not a curated record. NCBI's taxonomy places the organism in Eukaryota, Metazoa, Arthropoda, Insecta, Hymenoptera, Cephidae.
AAAAAGAUCAAAUCAAUCCUGCGUCGGCAGCGGGAUUCCUAAACGAGCGAUACCGGCGUGGACGACGGUUAAUUUGAUCUUUGAGAAGCGCGCGCUCUCUAGGGACUUUCGGUAAGGCGUCUGGGCGCAUGCGCAGUAGCCACCACGUAUACGAUCCGACCCAACAGAACGCGCUGUCCUGUCAACACACCGACGGAAUCCUGUCGAGACUUGUGAUUUUCGGUUACGGCUCUCGUGCGUCGCGUUUGUCUCUCUCCGGGAAUCACGAGAGACGCCGUUGUGUGUUGUACGUAAAAUUCUCGUGACUGCAAGUUCGCAGCAGUGUGCUCGCACGUACGUACGAACGUUAACGGGCUUGCGUGUCUACUGCAACGCUCACGCGAGAGGUUAUGAGUGAUUUUGUUAACCGCACGUACUCGAGUGAAUAUGCUUUCGCAUUUUACGAAGUAAAUUGAUGACGCUCGUUUAAGGGGGCUCGAUGAUCUGAAGUUUGCUUCGAUUUUAACUCUACGCGAUGGAUAUUAACGUAUUACCAGCACGGUUGGCAGUACUUGUUACUGGAAUAAUGGCCGAUUUACUACCGUCCAUUUAUCAUUCAGUGUGUGUUACGUGUGUACGUAUGCAAUACGUAUACGGCGGUAGAAUUUAUCGGCGGGGCCUCGAUACUUUGAUGACUUUAUCGACGCAACUUUCUAAAUGGAUGAUCGAGAAAUGAACGCUGGGUACAAUGCAGGCUUGCGUGUUUAUAAAUUUCAGUUUUCUCAAUUGACCCUCGUGUGCUGCUUUUCGUUUGUCGUAAUUCACACUGAGUGUUCGCUCAUUGAUUUUUCAGUAUGUAUAGCUCUUUUUUAAUAUGACAAGGUGCAUAUACAUAAACAAGGAUACAAUGAUGGCAGUUACUGGCAGCCAAUUUUGGAACACAUUGAUUUUCGUUUUUGCAUCAGGAUAUACGUGAUAACGGAAGAGACUGUGAUAUAUCGAAAUGAAUAAAUGGAUCAGCGAUCAUUAAUCAACGAUCUAAGGUCCGAUCGAUUCUAUUCUUGAAUAUAAUUUUUCUUUUCUAGUCCAAGACAUAACCUAUAUUUUUUUAAACAUUUUCGCCCACAUCAAUUAAUCUUUUUGACAUGUGCUCCUCGUACUCUAUGAUGUGUAGGCGAACGAAACGAUUAUAGAUAAUUCCAUAAACGACAAAGAAAAACGUACCUCGACGCUGAUAAAUGCGACUCGUCAAAUUAUUUUUUUUAUGCCAAAACUUUUUUCUUUCUUUAAUGCCCACACGGAACCCCGGACAAUAUUUUUCGCUUUCACGGCAAAUCCACCAAUUGCCGCUUAUCAAGUAACGACGCCAGAGCCGUACUCUUCAACUUUCGACGUAUCGGCCGGACAACGCUCGACAUUACCUGUACAAGAAUAUCCAAAAUAAUUCAACUCCAAUAAAAUUCUGUGCGCGUGGCGUCAAACACAAAAAAAAGUCACUCAAGACCGUCGCGUCUGCUCGAGUCACAGAUCAACUUACAAAGCAAUAAUGAUCAACGGAAAAUAAUAACAAUCCAUUAUCAGCAUAGAAACUCAAAUAUCACUGAUAUUAUUGUAUGCGGAAUCUUUGGUCGAAAAUGGGAGUCAAAUCUAUCUAAGGUUACAGGACGUAAUUGGCAAUUUUCUUUUUUUUUUCAGUAUUGUGUUUUUUUUAUAUAUCAAAAUCUGCGCACGCGCGACAAACUGUCGUCUAUUAUCGUCUACGCGCUUUAUGUACGUGGGCGCGUAGUACUAUUUACGUGCACACAUUCACGCAUGACGAAUAUUCCGGAAUUGCAUUACGCACCGUAAUUGCUACCGACUCGAUAUAUACUCGCACGCGACAGUAGUAGUUUACAGUGGUAUUCCUGGCGGCAAAUUAUUUGCUGUGUGGGUAUAAUCCACGCGGGAUUCUGCAUUGAAGCAAUGUUUAACGAAAUUCCCUCGGAUGCACUGCCAAUCCGUAUAUUCGCGUGUCCAUUGAAAUUGUACACAUAGGUAAACAAGCGUGUAGCUAAUGUUUGGCAACAAUUUUGAAAAUUUAACACUGCCAAAAUUUCCCUCUCUACGUACCAAGCGCCAAUAGCCGUUUCUAACGUACAAGUGCCCUUGCGAAAAAUACCAUUUCUGGACGGAGUAAAGAAGACAACUGCAAUUGCAAUUAUAUUGCGAAUUUCACAUUUCCCUUGACAUUUUGCACGCACGUGUAUAAGUUUUUAAAAACAAUUUUUCAUUCGCACAAUUUUUCCACAGGUCUUUGUCGGUAAAUUUUUAAGACCUCAAACUUUUUCCUCGAGCAUUUUCUUUUUCGCAAUUGCAUUUAAUACGGCCCAUAUAUUCAUACUUUUAAUGCAAAUUAAUGAAUCGGUACCAUUUUCGCUACUGUUGGUACUCUACAAAUUUCCUAGAAUUGCGGCAGAGACAGGUGGCAUAUUGUUGAAUGGCCUUUUUAAUACUUUAUUCUCAUUGUUACGCAAUACUGAUCGCCCUGCGUUUAACACGAAUGACUCACAGUUUAUUUAAUCGUUACUAUGCUGUAACUCGUUUCUAAGUAUUGUUGUGUCUCGAAAGUAUCAUUUUACGCCGAUAACAUAUUUUCCUCAAUUAUACGAAAGACCAACUUGAUCUAAGUCAAGAAUAUAUUCGGAUAUAAGAUAAACAGUGAAAACGUGCAUGAAUUUACGUUAACAAGACAUACCACGAUGAUUUUAAAACCUGGCAUUAAGUAAUUAGCGAUUAAUCAACGAAUCAGCUGAUAUUUUGAAAAAAAUCAGAAAGACAAGAGAAAUUUGCCAUGAAAAAGUGAGAAGUCAAAAUAAUCAAAAAAAAAAUUUUUUUUAAAUCCGCUAAAAAAUUUUCCCUAGAUCAUAAAACCUACCAAGAUACAAUAAAUAAAUAAAAGUCACUAGCAAACAAAAUCAUCAACAAUCCAAAAUAAUUGUCAUAGAGUCAUUCAAAAAUUACCACCAAUAAAACGUACGUGGUCUCCCAUCAAUAAAAUAUUUCACACUGCAACGUCAUCCCAUGGAACACAAGCGCAACGAAACUAUCACGUCGAAUCAUAAUUCUCCUCGUAUUCCCCCGGUGACUCGAGGAUCCAAUGACGUCUCAACGACGACCGGUUCCCCGUUCCGAAGACGACGCCGAAUGGCGCAUCGCAUGUGCAUCGCAUGUGCGCCGUUCAACCUCCUCAACUGAGAAUAACGAUAUACAGGAUCAUCAACGACUCAUAUUUGCUCUCUCCGAGUAACGUGUCAAGUAUUUUCCAGUACGGCAAUGUUAAUCGACCAAGAAACGUCAUCGAAUAUCACCAUAUAUGAACCUGGACCAGAGGACAUUAUUUCUUCGUGUGUUUCUCCUUCUGAACAAAUGUUGCAGGACGGAUUUUUCAAUCGCUAUUAAGUUGGUGGAAAACUCGAUGCCUACUUUUAUAAUGGACACCCUGUAUAUACAGAUAUUGGAAUUGUCAUAUUUAUUACAUCUGGCGCUGUGGACACUGAAGAAGGAAUUACGCAAAACUGCUUUAUCGUCCAGUUCUCGUUGAACCUUAUGUAAGCAACGUUAAUCUUUGGAGGACAUACGGAUUUUUUAACUAGUACAGUUUUUGACUUUGAGUUUUUAAUGCGUAUGCUAAAGUCUGUAGAAAAAAUGUGAUGACUGAUAUAGAGUCGAAAAAUCAUCUACAGGUUAAGUGUACAGUAUAUAUUUUGUGUAUGUACUAAUUUUAAGGCUGCUGAGUUUAGACAAUUAAAUUGUGAAUUGUGAAUAACAAAUUAAAUAUAACUUUUUCAGCUUAGUACCAAAACUUUCUACAAUCUGUAUGCAUUAUAUUAUUAUUUUUUUAAUAAUUAGCAUAGACUGUCGCAAAGACUAAUAUUGCAAACGUAACGGAAUAUUAGAAUAUUUCUUACAAGGAGUCUUCAACAAUCGGAUUUUCGUAAUCUUUUUUACUCAUGGUACAUGAAGUUGAGAAUUCGAAUAGUAAUUUCCCAAAGCAGGUCUAUGUCAUAUUCAAAAAUUCUCAAGAAGGUUGACUUUGAAGUUUUGUGAGUCCGUAUGUACAUCAAAUGUGUCAAAAUAUUUAAGCAGGUCGUUUAGCGCACCCGGUAACGCUCUAGCUUAGCGAGCGCGGGGUCGCUGGUUCGAGUCUCACUUGUACCUUUCUUUUUUCCACCCAAUUCGCAUAAUUACGUCAUUUAAAUAUAAAAGUUACCAAAUCUAUACUAAUUCACAGAUAUAUAAUUGCAAUCUUCAAUGAAAAUCGCACGUUUUAUUUUUAAUUAUCUCGAGCUUCAAAAAUUGCACCUUUGACUGUAAAUAUCAGUGUUUAGCUACCAGUAAUAAUAACAAACAAUAUUUUUAGAGCGGAAAUGAAAAAUGAUGGAAUUCUCUUUACUGUAAAAGCAACAUGAUAAGAAAAGUAAUGGAGUCGAAGUACUGAACGCGCACAAUAUAAUAAAAAAAAAAUUUCUUGAAAAUUUUGUGAGGUGUCUCGCACCCUUUGCGAAGGAACCCCCAAAUAUUGCAGCCAUGACGCCCCUGUCAGAGCUUCGUACUUUCGCCACCAGUCAACGCUCGAGUCAACACCGAAACUUUUUCCAGCCACACAGCAGCCUUAAAGUCUGAUGAGACUUUUGACUCGAUUAUCCGUAAAGAUAAAAAUAGGUUAGUGUAUAGAUGCGUAGAGGACUCGAUUGGACGGAUGAAUUAUAUUGUCAAAAGACAAAAAAUAAAAAUAGAAUUAAUAAAAUGCGGUUACUCGUCAGUGCAAUUAUUAUCGUCUCUUGACACUGGAAAAAUUAAGACCGCAAAAGCUGAUGGAUCGUUUGCAUUAAGUCGCAAAACUUAUUCGGAUCCUUUUUUUUCAAAUUUUCGUUCACUUUUGCCGAGAUAAACGAAUCAAUAAAUAUGCAAAUUUAUUUUUCAUCGAUCACACUAAUUUCCAAGGUUCUUUACAUGGGAUAACCUGGAUACGCCAAAAAUGACGCUGGUCGUUGUAACGUUGAGUCCGGCCGUAGGUCGAUCGCUGUUUUUCGCGAAUAAACAUUUCGCGCUAUCGUUAACACGUUACGUAAGGAACGACACUGGCAACGAUUAGCCCGCUAUCAUUAUUAUUCAUUAUUUGGAUUCACGUGACACGCUGAUUAAGUUACCGAAUCGUUCGCCUUCUCUUAAUUACGCUUGCUGCAAGAGCUGAUUGCGGUUAAGCCGAGUUAACGUGGCAAUUUCAAUUUUUUCGAAUUUUUCAAUGCCUCUCGGCGCGAGACAAAUUGAACGAGUGAAAUUAAAAUUUUGGACGCGAGACCAUUAUUAUUUUUUUUUUUUUUUGUUCGUUCUGCGUGAAAUGGAAUCAAUUUUUCUUUUCGAAUUUUUUAAACCAAAUUAUCAAUAUUUCCGUUUGACGUUCCCAUUGAAAAUAACUAAACCCCGUGUUAAAUUUGCAGCUGUAAAACAAAAAAGUGACACGCGGUUCGUCGAAAACGACCGAACGUAUAAAAGUAAUUGGAUAAUUGAAAUUAAUAGAUAGCGACAUUUCACCGUGGAUUACGAAAUUACCAUGUAAAUAGACAGUCGGAGAUAAUGAAGUAUCGUAGAAUCGGAAAUGGACACUACGCUUGAAUCAUACCAGAUUAUAUACGCAAGGUGUGUACUCAGCUUAAAGAUUGUACGUCGUUACAAGUGAAAUUACAGAGUGCAGAAACACGUGAAUGGAGGCGAUUGAUAAAAGAAAAGAGAUUAAAAAA